AGUAGCGCUGCCUGCAAACCAGCACCAAGGCUGCAAACGAAGCCAGAAAGAUGGUGGCCAGCACACCUAUGGCAACUAUCACCACGGUCUCCAUGCUUCCGGGGAGCUCCUGACUCAGUCCCGUUCACAUCGUCCUCAUGGGCUAAGGCUGCUGGAAGUGGCAAACUGGGGGAAGAGGAUGGCAGGAGCUAGGUUCCUCCACGACACCUCCAGAGACCUGAGGGCCUCAAGCUGCAGCUCCGGGGCACAUCCCGCUGCGCUCCCACGACGGCCCCGCGGAUGGCAAAGUCAGCGGCAUCGCCUAUGCAGGCAAUCAAAGGAUGUUGAUGGAUAAGUGUUUCAGGCAGAAUAAUGGCCCUCAAAGAUGUUGACACCAGAAUCUUCAGAACCUUUGCAUAUGUUACCUAACAUGACAAAAGGGACUUUGCUGAUGUGAUUAAGGUUAAGAACUUUGAGAAGGGAAGAUUAUCCUGGAUUAUACAGGUCGACGUUUAUUUCUUUCUGAACUUUCCUGGAGGAUCAUCGGCCAUACUCCAGCAGAAGGGUGGAUUUGAAAAAAUAACGUUUCCACGGCAACAGUGGCAGCAAUUCAGAGUUUCCCUGCACAAGCUCUCUUCUCUUGUCUGCUGCCAUGUAAGACGUGACUUUCACCUUCCACCAUCAUUGUGAGGCCUCCCCAGCCACAUAGAACUAAGGAAGACGUUGGAGAAUUCACAUGCUAUUUUAGCUGGCUCUGUGAUUGCAAUCACACAAAUCAUUACAUUCCAGCGAGAUCCCAUCAACAGAAGGUUUUUCCAUUUCAGUCUGUCAAGUUUUUCAGGCAUGAAUACUGUAAGCAAGAAGAGAAAAGUUACAAUAAAUUGACAUUUAUAGUUGAAGUUGACCUCUAA
Molecule: long non-coding RNA, 890 nt
Organism: Homo sapiens (human)
Lineage: Eukaryota; Metazoa; Chordata; Mammalia; Primates; Hominidae
Product: long intergenic non-protein coding RNA 1500
Source: Ensembl